RNAcentral lists this unclassified non-coding RNA (1508 nucleotides) under Hevea brasiliensis (rubber tree). Lineage: Eukaryota; Viridiplantae; Streptophyta; Magnoliopsida; Malpighiales; Euphorbiaceae. The record is from RNAcentral.
UGGGCUCAUGAUCAAGAAGAUGCAUUUCCUAUAGUUCAAAAACAAAAACGCUCUUGGAAAUUUUCACAAGUUGAAACUGUUCAACCAGCUAGAAACAUUCGCUCUGCUGAAAUAAAAACAACUGCUAGUAGCAUAGAGUUGUCUAGGGAAAAACUAGAAAUGGAAAUCACAGAUCAAUGAAGUAUCAAUUACACAAGGAAAACGUGAUUCUAUGGCAGAUCCUUCUCUCUUGGAGAUUCUGGCAGCAAAAAACUGCUUUACAUGCACGUCCUAAGAGAAUAAGAACCAAACCCAAAUUCUUCUUCUGUUAUUGUCACCUUAUCUUGCUCCUGUUUCACCAUUACACUCUCUAAAUCAUCCAAGGAGCCAAAAUUAUUAGAAAAAUAACUACCCUGUGGCUUCUGUUGGCCUAUCACAUAUCCAUCAUUUGAACUCAUCAGGGUCUCCAUUGCCAAAUUGUCAACCUCAUUGUGCUUCAACAGAAAUGGAUCCACAAUAUCUGAUUGCCUUGUUGAAUUGAAGCUCUUGGUUCUCUGGAAAAUUGCAUUAUUUGGGUCCAAACUCUGGCCCAUAGGACUCCCAGUGCCAUGAUUAGGAAUUACAGAGUUUAUUGAACUACAUUCGGCAUUUGAGUGGUAAGUGGCAUCUCGCCUCUGGCUCUGGUCAUCCCACCCUUGUGGGGCAUUAUUAAUUAUUUGUCUGGUAUUACUUCUAAUUGAAGCUAUUUGGCACUGUAAAUCUGCCUUAGAGUCCUGCAAGUGAAUUGGCACUGUAGAAAUAGAAGAGACUUGAGAAGGAUUAUUCCCACUUUGCAAAGCCAUUGUUGACAUGCUAUCUCUGAUGUUACUAGGAAGCAGGGUAGCUUGUUUGAAACAGUCAUUUAUGCCAAAAGAAUUCGAUUGGUCACCUGUUGACUGAACAGCACUUGACCAGCUGUCAUUACAUCUACCAUGAUCCAAAAAAUUGGAAGAAAAUCCUGAAUCUAAAGAGGCCACAGUAAGAGAAGAUUGUUUUCCAAAUUGUCGGCCAUCUUGAACCUCUUGAACACUCCCUUCUAACAUCAAGGGUUUGUUUGAAACACCAAGGAAAGCACUGUUUGAGCUGCUAGCCAUUAUUUUUGCAUCCUGGAAACCAUUGGAAACAGAGAAAGUAGUUGUAUUAUUAACAUCAGUAGGAAGUUCUCUGAUAUAGGUAACACCCUUGUUAGGUUGUAUUUGAUCAACUUCCAAUGACAUCGGCAUCCCUUGAAGCACAUUCCCAUCAUUUCCAGUAUGCACAAUUGACUGAAAUUGGCUCUGACAAUUAGUNNGGGGUUGGCAAAGGACCUAUUUGAAUCACUCCACUAGAAGGCAGACCACACAUACCAAGAGCAGCAGGCGAAUUCAACCUACCAAGCAUGCCACUUGGUGGGAGAGAUCUGAAAGCUGCAUUAUGAAACUGCCCAGUUCGAGCCAAGUUGGGGAAACCAAGUCCAUUCACAGAACCCAUUUGCAAGUAGGAAGCAUCUG